Molecule: small RNA, 596 nt
Filed under: Pan troglodytes (chimpanzee)
Lineage: Eukaryota; Metazoa; Chordata; Mammalia; Primates; Hominidae
Description: retained intron
Source: RNAcentral
CUCUCCACUUCCUGCUACUGCAGGCCUCUCCUCCGAGAACAGAGGCCAGGUCAUGACUCACUGGCUUCCUGCAACCUGAGGAUGGCCCAGCCAGAAGACAAGGCACCUGAAGUCCCCACAGAGGGGGUGAGGUGAGGCUACUAGGGCUGAGGCUAUGCCCUCCUUCCCCUGCAUCCAGAAACCCUUUCCAUCCAAUACCUCCCUCACUACAGAAUCCUGAAUCACAUCUCUGAGCCUCUGCCCUGGGCCUGCCCCUUCCUGUACCUUUGACCUCACCUCAUUGUCCCACUGCCCACCUCUGACCCCUGACUCCCUGGGCACUGUCCAUCCCAGGCUGGUCCCACCACAGGUGAACAAAGCAGACAGGACCCCUCUAGGGGUCCUCAGCACCCUAGAGCCACUUAUUCGCCUGCAGAGGACAUGGGGGGUGUGGCAUGUGCCAGAGCUGGAUACCCAGGAUGCGGAGGCCCUUGUGGGGCUGUGGCCACUAGGGAGUUUCUUGGUCACAGGACGUGACCCCAGCCAGGCCCUGGUGUUGAGGUCAGGACCUUUACCAGGAGAAGUCAACACCUACCAGAUCCAGAAGAUUCCCAGAG